Molecule: ribosomal RNA, 465 nt
Filed under: uncultured bacterium
Lineage: Bacteria
Description: partial 16S ribosomal RNA
Rfam family: Bacterial small subunit ribosomal RNA
Source: RNAcentral
GACGAACGCUGGCGGCGUGCUUAACACAUGCAAGUCGAACGGAAAGGCCCCUUCGGGGGUACUCGAGUGGCGAACGGGUGAGUAACACGUGAGUAGCCUGCCCUUGACUUCGGGAUAACUUCAGGAAACUGGGGCUAAUACCGGAUAGGAAUCCUUGCUGCAUGGUGGGGGUUGGAAAGCUUCGGCGGUUUUGGAUGGACUCGCGGCUUAUCAGCUUGUUGGUGGGGUAGUGGCUUACCAAGGCUUUUACGGGUAGCCGGCCUGAGAGGGCGACCGGCCACAUUGGGACUGAGAUACGGCCCAGACUCCUACGGGAGGCAGCAGUGGGGAAUAUUGCACAAUGGGCGGAAGCCUGAUGCAGCAACGCCGCGUGCGGGAUGACGGCCUUCGGGUUGUAAACCGCUUUCAGCAGGGGCGAAGCUUGUGGUGACGGUACCUGCAGAAGAAGCACCGGCUAACUACGUG